RNAcentral lists this microRNA precursor (94 nucleotides) under Branchiostoma floridae (Florida lancelet). RNAcentral describes it as "mir-2060 microRNA precursor family". It matches the Rfam family "mir-2060 microRNA precursor family". The record is from Rfam by way of RNAcentral. Lineage: Eukaryota; Metazoa; Chordata; Leptocardii; Amphioxiformes; Branchiostomatidae.
GUUCACCUGUGUGUAGAUGGUGUUCAGCACCAAGGACAGGCAUGUUCACCUGUGUGUAGAUGGUGUUCAGCACCAAGGACAGGCAUGUUCACCU